CACCAUGUUACAUUAGUUUCAGGUAUACAACAGGACAUAGUGAUUCACCUUCUCUAUAUGUGAUGCUAUGCUCAUCACAAGGGUAGCUACCAUCUGUCACCAUACAAUACUAUUAUAAUAUCAUUGGCUGUAUUUCUAAUGUUGUGCCUCUUAUUCCCCUGACUUAUUUUAUUUUAUUUUAAUUUUGGUAAAGAUUUUAUUUUUAAGCAUUCUCUAUACCCAUUGUGGGGAUCAAACUCACAACCCCAAGAUCGAGAGUCACAUGCUGUACUGACUGAGCCAGGAAAAAGAAGUGAGACAUUCAGAGUUGUUGGCUACUGGAGACUUUGGAAUGGGUCAAAUGUCAACUGAAGAGUACGGAUUGAUUGAGCACAUUCUUUAGUAUGUGCUUUCCAUUGUAAUCUCACCGAACAACUUGCAUACUCUGUCCGGGAAACACACUGCAAGGCGACCCUUGGAGCCACCAACUGAUCCCAAACACAACGAUCUUUUUAUUGUACUGCUGUCGUGUGGCAUUUCUGCGGUCAUGCUGAUUAGGCCAACCUUAUCCUAGCUACCUGAAGGACAGUCAUGAUGGAGAAGAACGUUUGGGCUGCUUCUCUCUGUGGAGACUCAUCUGACCAAAGCCCAAUUUGAUGAACGUUAAGGGCUGUAGGAUCCACUCUUCCAACUAGGUCCGCCCUGCUCUGAAGACCCACCUUCUUUUGGCUGGAAAAUGAAUCUGCGAACAUCUUUGAGAAGGAGUUACUGAACACUGUGCAAACGACAGACAGCACUAAAGUUCCCAUUAGCUACCAGAAGAAAACUCAAAGUUCAUUAACGAGUAGCUGAUUGUCUUUAUCGCACGGAGGCUUACGUCUUAACACCCAAGAAGGAAGGAGUGAAAUCUGCCUCAGUACUUCCAUGGAAUUCCUUCUCGAAGUUUGAUUCAAUUCCUGUUCAUGUGUAAGACAUAAGCCUUAUGCCAUGAAAUUCCCAUUUUAACUGGUUGUCGGCUGUAAGUUAAUAUGCAGACUUAUUUCGCUUCUCCCCCUCCACGCUUGUGCACAAUGCUUUGAAUGUUCUGUGUUUUCCUUGCCUUUGAUUGCCAAUCCAUCCCGGGCCCUCAUUUCCUCCUCUCCUGCCUUUUGGCCGGCAUAAUUUUGGAACUUAGAAAAAAAAAAUGCAUCCUCUGUCUUUUCUCAUAGGCUCCAUUUGCAUUUUAGUCGAUUUUGGACAUUUUUUCUACGAUGUAUUCAGUAUGCUUUAUUUCCUGUUUUUAUAAGCUUUAUAUAACUUCAGAAAAAUGUGAUCCAAGGCAUGUCUGGGGGAGAGGUGGCUGUUAUUUUUUUACUGUAACAUGGAAGAUAUUGACCUGCAGUGUCUACACUGGGCAUAACUGUUUGCAGAGUUGUCUUUUUUCCUUUUAAUUUUAUUUUUGAGAGAGCACGAGCCAGGGAGAGGGGCAGAGGGAGAGGGAGAGCAAGAUUUCAAGCAGGUUCCUCGUUCAGCUCAGAGUCCGACAUGGGGCUCCAUCCCAUGACUCUGGGAUCGUGACCUGAGCUGAAAUCAAGAAUCGGAGGCUCAACCGACUGAGCCACCCCUGCAGAGUUGUCUUUAGAUGACCGUGACCAGAGGUAUUUUUCAGGGUUCUUCAUCUUGGUCAGCUGGGUGCCAGGAAGGCAGCUGGUAGGACAUACAUGCAGGCAAUUAGCAUGUAUGCACUGAACACUCUAUCAUUUCCAAACCAAAAGGUGAGAUCAUUUCUGCUAUCCUUCCAUUGGCCCCACCUCCUUGUUUUCCAUGUUAACCCUACAGGUGACCUGUGAGCAAUGUGAGUUUGAACUAUGUGGGUCCACCUAUAUGUGGCGUCUUUUCAAUUAAUACAGUACAGUCCUAUAAAUGUAUUUUCUCUUGUGACUUUCUUCAUAACAUUUUCUUCUUUCUAGCUUCCUCCUCGGUAAGAAUGAAGCUUAUAGUAAAUACAACAUACAAACUACGUGCUAAUCGGCUGUUUGUGUUAUUGGUAAGGGUUCCAGUCAACAGUGGGCUAUUAGUCAUGAAGUUUUUGGAGGAGUCAGUUAUAUAUGGAUUUUUGACUGCAUGGGAGGUCAGUGCCCUCAACCCCUACAUUGUUCAAGGGUCAACUGUAGUUGAUUUUACUCAGUAAAAUGCAUAAAUUGUAAGUGUUCAGCACAAGGAAUUUUGACAAAUGUA
Molecule: long non-coding RNA, 2196 nt
Organism: Felis catus (domestic cat)
Lineage: Eukaryota; Metazoa; Chordata; Mammalia; Carnivora; Felidae
Exons: 4
Source: RefSeq, a predicted model, not a curated record